Long non-coding RNA from Balaenoptera ricei (Rice's whale), 524 nucleotides. RefSeq lists it as uncharacterized. The record is from RefSeq and is a predicted model, not a curated record. The transcript is spliced from 4 exons. NCBI's taxonomy places the organism in Eukaryota, Metazoa, Chordata, Mammalia, Artiodactyla, Balaenopteridae.
UGGAAAUAGAUACCUGUGAUCUUGAAAUGCUAUGGGGUGCCACAAAUUCCUAGGAGGGGGUAAGCCCUGGAAAAGGCUCUUAACAAGAAAGCAGAACCAACAGAAGGAGUCUCUAGCCCACAGGAGCCCAAAGUCCCAGGGAAGAGAGAUGAGUCAAUGGAGCUAAGCACAAGGUGCGAUGGGAACUACAUCUGACCUGGAUACCAACAGACGGUACCAUUUAACCAAAGGAAGGAAUGAAUCCUCUAAUAGCAGACUUUGCCUGGCACAGCUGCCUAUUUAUUUAUUCCACAAAUAUUGACUGAGUGCCUACAAUGUGCCAGGCUUUUAAGUGAAUGGUGGUAGGAAAAGGAGAACUUCUGUAUAUCCUUCAAAUAAUACCAGGGGGCCCGGGUUCGAUCCCUGGUCAGGGAACAUGCCACAACUAAGAGUUCGCAUGCUGCAACUAAAGAUCCCAUGUGCCGAAAUGAAGAUCCUGCACGCGGCAAUGAAGAUUCCACGUGCCUCAACUAAGACCCGACGCA